AUACACUAUAUAAAUCCAUAGAUAGAAGCAGGGCUCGCUCUGUUUAUACACUAUAUAAAUCCAUAGAUAGAUAGAAGCAGGGCUCGCUCUGUUUAUACACUAUAUCAAUCCAUAGAUAGAUAGAAGCAGGACUCGCUCUGUUUAUACACUAUAUAAAUCCAUAGAUAGAUAGAAGCAGGGAUCGCUCUGUUUAUACACUAUAUAAAUCCAUAGAUAGAUAGAAGCAGGGCUCGCUCUGUUUAUACACUAUAUAAAUCCAUAGAUAGAUAGAAGCAGG
Molecule: non-coding RNA, 277 nt
Organism: Pelobates cultripes (western spadefoot toad)
Lineage: Eukaryota; Metazoa; Chordata; Amphibia; Anura; Pelobatidae
Source: the annotation of a GenBank genome assembly